This 299-nucleotide unclassified non-coding RNA is filed under the name uncultured fungus. Its description in RNAcentral is "partial contains 5.8S ribosomal RNA, internal transcribed spacer 2, and large subunit ribosomal RNA". Lineage: Eukaryota; Fungi. The record is from RNAcentral.
AACGCAUAUUGCGCCUGCGCCUCGGCAAAGGCAUGUCUGCCUCAGCGUCGGUUUACCCCCUCCAAUCAUUUCUUGAUUGGGAUGUGACCUUCCCUUGCUCUGGGUUGGUUGAAACGAAUGCCUGUGCCCACUACCAAACGAAGGCACAGAAAGGUAGGUCGCUUAACCAAGCGCAUCUGCCACUGUGUUCUUCGAGUGCGAGCUCUGGCGUGAGUUAGGAACGUUCCCUUCUCUUGUGAAAGAGAGAGGCGAAUCAAACAUCUGACCUGAGAUCAGGCAAGACCACCCGCUGAACUUAA